GACGAACGCUGGCGGCGUGCUUAACACAUGCAAGUCGUACGGUAAGGCCCUUUCGGGGGUACACGAGUGGCGAACGGGUGAGUAACACGUGAGUAACCUGCCCACAACUUUGGGAUAACGCUAGGAAACUGGUGCUAAUACUGGAUAUGUGCUCCUGCUGCAUGGUGGGGGUUGGAAAGCUCCGGCGGUUGUAGAUGGACUCGCGGCCUAUCAGCUUGUUGGUGGGGUAGUGGCCUACCAAGGCGGCGACGGGUAGCCGGCCUGAGAGGGUGACCGGCCACAUUGGGACUGAGAUACGGCCCAGACUCCUACGGGAGGCAGCAGUGGGGAAUAUUGCACAAUGGGCGCAAGCCUGAUGCAGCAACGCCGCGUGCGGGAUGACGGCCUUCGGGUUGUAAACCGCUUUCAGCAGGGACGAAGCUUUUUGUGACGGUACCUGCAGAAGAAGCACCGGCUAACUACGUG
RNAcentral lists this ribosomal RNA (465 nucleotides) under uncultured bacterium. RNAcentral describes it as "partial 16S ribosomal RNA". It matches the Rfam family "Bacterial small subunit ribosomal RNA", at positions 28 to 507 of the family's 1533-position model. The record is from RNAcentral.